CAAGGUAUAGCUCAGGGGUAGAGCACAUGCUUAGCAUGCACGAGGUCCUGGGUUCAAUCUCCAGAACCUCCA
Molecule: transfer RNA, 72 nt
Filed under: Camelus bactrianus (Bactrian camel)
Lineage: Eukaryota; Metazoa; Chordata; Mammalia; Artiodactyla; Camelidae
Also listed under: 2 other names
Rfam family: tRNA
About the family: Transfer RNA (tRNA) molecules are approximately 80 nucleotides in length. Their secondary structure includes four short double-helical elements and three loops (D, anti-codon, and T loops).
Source: Rfam by way of RNAcentral